UACGUAGGGACCAAGCGUUGUUCGGAUUUACUGGGCGUAAAGGGCGCGUAGGCGGCAUGACAAGUCACUUGUGAAAUCUCCGGGCUUAACUCGGAACGGCCAAGUGAUACUGUCGCGCUAGAGUGCGGAAGGGGCAAUCAGAAUUCUUGGUGUAGCGGUGAAAUGCGUAGAUAUCAAGAGGAAUACCUGAGGUGAAGACGGGUUGCUAGGCCGACACUGACGCUGAGUGCGCGAAAGCCAGGGGAGCAAACGGG
This 254-nucleotide ribosomal RNA is filed under the name uncultured bacterium. Its description in RNAcentral is "partial 16S ribosomal RNA". It matches the Rfam family "Bacterial small subunit ribosomal RNA", at positions 524 to 776 of the family's 1533-position model. The record is from RNAcentral. RNAcentral also lists the same sequence under 2 other names.